Drosophila pseudoobscura is the source of this 729-nucleotide long non-coding RNA. RefSeq lists it as uncharacterized. The record is from RefSeq and is a predicted model, not a curated record. The transcript has 2 exons. NCBI's taxonomy places the organism in Eukaryota, Metazoa, Arthropoda, Insecta, Diptera, Drosophilidae.
CAUUUGCUCUAUUUCUAUUUCUGCUUCUGCUUCUGUUUCUAAUUCUGUUUCUAUUGUUAUAGUUACUGUUGCAAUUGCCUGCAUUGCAGCAGGUCGUAAAUUUAUGGCAAAUAAAUUUAUAGCAGUCGUUUCGAGGUCUCCAACGCACCACCAGUCCACCAGGCCACCCAAUAGAGUGGGCUCCAUUCCACUGCUGUCUGUCAGAUGGGGAACAUUCAACUGAAAUGGCUCAAAAAAUUGAAAUCAACCAAAGUUGGGGAAUUUCCUGCAGCCAGGAGAAGCAAAAAGAGGUCGAGGGGCUGAGCAAAUGAAUAGAACCAGCCAAGAAUCCUUCUUUGCUGUUCAUUUUGGGCUCGGGUUAGAAGGGCCCAAUGCAUAUUAAGUUGUCCUUGUUGUCCUCGUUUUCCUUGUUGAGAGCUUAUCUGAAUGCACCACAAUUAUUUCAGCUUGUCGGAGAAGCCAAACGGUCAUUGUGCGAGUGCAAGCCCCCCAAAUGCAGUUUGUCCACGGCCAACUGCCGACUGCCAUACGAAGCUUCGCUCACUACCUGAAUGGCCAAGAAGCAAAAGUUUUUCUGAAGAAAAAUGUUGAUUGGAACGAAUUAUUGUGGCAACUGGAGGGGACCAGCUUGGUACGAGGUACGAGAUAUCCUGCCUGAGAUACCCUGAAUAUGUUUCUAUAUAUUCAUUUCCGUAUGUAUCUCUAUUGAAUAAAAUCUAAGUCCGCUUA